RNAcentral lists this unclassified non-coding RNA (329 nucleotides) under soil metagenome. RNAcentral describes it as "partial contains 5.8S ribosomal RNA, internal transcribed spacer 2, and large subunit ribosomal RNA". The stretch from base 1 to 120 matches the Rfam family "5.8S ribosomal RNA", at positions 35 to 154 of the family's 154-position model. The record is from RNAcentral.
GAUGAAGAACGUAGCGAAAUGCGAUAAGUAAUGUGAAUUGCAGAAUUCCGUGAAUCAUCGAAUCUUUGAACGCACAUUGCGCCCUCUGGUAUUCCGGGGGGCAUGCCUGUUCGAGCGUCAUUAUAACCACUCAAGCUCUCGCUUGGUAUUGGAGUUCGCGAUCUCGCGGCUCCUAAAAUCAGUGGCGGUGCCUGUCGGCUCUACGCGUAGUAAUACUCCUCGCGAUUGAGUCCGGUAGGUUUACUUGCCAGCAACCCCCAAUUUUUACAGGUUGACCUCGGAUCAGGUAGGGAUACCCGCUGAACUUAAGCAUAUCAAUAAGCGGAGGA